This 497-nucleotide ribosomal RNA is filed under the name uncultured bacterium. Its description in RNAcentral is "partial 16S ribosomal RNA". It matches the Rfam family "Bacterial small subunit ribosomal RNA", at positions 28 to 523 of the family's 1533-position model. The record is from RNAcentral.
GAUGAACGCUAGCGGCAGGCCUAAUACAUGCAAGUCGAGGGGUAGAGCGGUGCUUGCACUGCUUGAGACCGGCGCACGGGUGCGUAACGCGUAUGCAACCUACCCUUUUCUGGGGGAUAGCCCGGAGAAAUCCGGAUUAAUACCGCAUAAGACCACGGUACGGCAUCGUAAUGGGUCAAACAUUUAUGGGAGAAGGAUGGGCAUGCGUGCCAUUAGCUAGUUGGCGGGGUAACGGCCCACCAAGGCGACGAUGGCUAGGGGAUCUGAGAGGAUGGCCCCCCACACUAGUACUGAGACACGGACCAGACUCCUACGGGAGGCAGCAGUAAGGAAUAUUGGUCAAUGGAGGCAACUCUGAACCAGCCAUGCCGCGUGCAGGAAGACGGCCCUCCGGGUUGUAAACUGCUUUUAUUCGGGAAUAAACCUAGAUACGUGUAUCUAGCUGAAUGUACCGAAGGAAUAAGGAUCGGCUAACUCCGUGCCAGCCGCCGCAGUAA